RNAcentral lists this transfer RNA (61 nucleotides) under Schyzocotyle acheilognathi. RNAcentral describes it as "tRNA-Glu". The record is from RNAcentral. Lineage: Eukaryota; Metazoa; Platyhelminthes; Cestoda; Bothriocephalidea; Bothriocephalidae.
CUGGUUUGAUGUAGUAAGCAUGUCAGCUUUUCGUGCUGAAGGUGAUCAAUGAUCAACCAGC